GAUGAACGCUGGCGGCGUGCUUAACACAUGCAAGUCGAACGAAGCACUUUAUUUGAUUUCCUUCGGGACUGAUUAUUUUGUGACUGAGUGGCGUACGGGUGAGUAACGCGUGGGUAACCUGCCUUGUACAGGGGGAUAACAGUUGGAAACGGCUGCUAAUACCGCAUAAGCGCACAGCAUCGCAUGAUGCAGUGUGAAAAACUCCGGUGGUAUAAGAUGGACCCGCGUUGGAUUAGCUAGUUGGUGAGGUAACGGCCCACCAAGGCGACGAUCCAUAGCCGACCUGAGAGGGUGACCGGCCACAUUGGGACUGAGACACGGCCCAAACUCCUACGGGAGGCAGCAGUGGGGAAUAUUGCACAAUGGGCGAAAGCCUGAUGCAGCGACGCCGCGUGAGCGAAGAAGUAUUUCGGUAUGUAAAGCUCUAUCAGCAGGGAAGAUAAUGACGGUACCUGACUAAGAAGCACCGGCUAAAUACGUG
This 481-nucleotide ribosomal RNA is filed under the name uncultured bacterium. RNAcentral describes it as "partial 16S ribosomal RNA". It matches the Rfam family "Bacterial small subunit ribosomal RNA", at positions 28 to 507 of the family's 1533-position model. The record is from RNAcentral.